AAGUCGUAACAAGGUCUCCGUAGGUGAACCUGCGGAGGGAUCAUUAACACAUCCACACCCAACCAUUAUCAACCAAACCGUGAACCUAUUUUCUUUUUUAACCCCAUUUACCAAACUUGACUAACAAUAAUAAGAGAGACAUUGCACGUGCAUGUACAGUGGCUCGCCGCUGUGCUCUGCGCUGUGUGUCGCCUUAUUCAAAUUACAACAAACCAAAGAACAACUCUUAGCAAUGGAUAUCUUGGUUCUC
RNAcentral lists this unclassified non-coding RNA (250 nucleotides) under fungal sp. RNAcentral describes it as "partial internal transcribed spacer region". The stretch from base 1 to 46 matches the Rfam family "Eukaryotic small subunit ribosomal RNA", at positions 1786 to 1831 of the family's 1831-position model. Lineage: Eukaryota; Fungi. The record is from RNAcentral.